GGGGGUCGUACACGAUGCCCAUCUUGCUCUGGAUGUUGAAACUCAGCAGCACCCAGUGGUUGCCGUUCACGUGCUGUGGCACCAAGACAGUGGUGCUGGGGCCAAUCAGUUUGCACCACCGGGCGCCCAGGUCUUUGCGUUCCCAUCUGCUGUUCUGCGUUUGCAAGGCAAUUUGCAGUUUUGGAUUCAGCAAGUUGCACUUUUGCGUUCAGAAAACACAGCAGGGUGUACCAACAAAACAAAGCAAAGACAUUAAUAUUCAGUAUUCAUGUUGCUAGGUGCUUAACCGCACCUUCCUUUCACCUCCAUCAUCAACACCAAGAUAGCACACUACUCACCUGGGUGUCAUUGCUGUGAAAUGAUUCCAACAGCACAAACUUUGGAGCCGUGUCAGGCGGAGUUUGCAGGAGCACUUGAUCCUGGAUGUGCAGUUUGCAACAGAUACAUAUCUUCUUUAAAAGCUCAUGUGUUUGCAUGGGGUCAGACAGACAGAAUAUACAAAUCUGCGUGUUAUUUUAUCCUCUCUGAAACAGAUGGGAAAAUGCACAAGUCAUUUGCUGGCCUAGCAUAUGUCAGUACGCUGUCACGUCAAAUCGUGGUCAUUGCUGAAUCGUUGUCAAGUCAAGUGUGUGAGGUGUGACCUGUAUUUAAGUGGGGCUCUUUCCUUGGAUGCUCUCUCUUAAUCAACAUUCUGUUCCACCUUCCAUUGAGGUUUGGCGUUCUUUCUGUUAUCCCUGGCCUUGUGCCAGGGGUGUGUGCCCCAUUUGUCCCUGAUGUAACGCUAACCUGGUGAAGCUGGUCCGGUCCCACUGUGUCUGCCCCCAAGUCCCUCUCUAUGUGCUGCAGCCAAGCCAGCACUGCUCAGCAGCUCAGUAGCAGCAAGCAGAGUCAGUCAUCCCGCACAUCUCUAGCCAUCAGCAAAGCGGGAGAGCACAGUCCUUUGUGUGGAUGGCUUUUGCCACCUCUGGACUUAAAGCUUACCAAUGUCUUGCCUGCUUCAAGAACUAUUCAAAGUGCAAGAACAGUGAUUCAGCAUGACAACGCUGUGAAACACGAGCAGUGAAACAAUUGUACUUGCAGCAACCUGGUGACCACGGACCAUGCUGCACUAGACAAGUAGCUGGCAGUGCUGUCCUCUUCAGAGUGAAUGCGUUUCAACUCAGCGACAAAGAUGCACACGCCGCCACCCAACGUGGGCAGCUACUUGAAUUCGUUGUCGGGCAUGUCCUUGACAAAGUCCCAUGUCCAAACUUGCUGCUGCACCAUGUCCUGCAGAUGUGUGUAUGUCAAAGGGUACUUAAAAACAUUGAUUGAGUGGCAUUCACCAAGACAUCCACAAACAGCAGGCGUUUGUCAUGAUGGAUGCAAGACGCACUGCUGUGCGUGCCUUCAUCAUGAGCCCUUUAUGAGCCCAUGGAUGGUCCAAAAAAAAAGAAAUACUCAAAAACAGUCUCAACAGAAACAUACUCCAAAUCAAAUACCCCACCUGCUCAAGCAGCAUCUGUGUGUUGUCCUCUGGAUCACCAGACAGGUGGAUGCUCC
This 1542-nucleotide long non-coding RNA is filed under the name Dunaliella salina. RNAcentral describes it as "long non-coding RNA (DSAL_LNC000160)". The record is from RNAcentral. Lineage: Eukaryota; Viridiplantae; Chlorophyta; Chlorophyceae; Chlamydomonadales; Dunaliellaceae.